UUUCUUUCCUUCCUUGCCAUCACCCACCUUCGCAUCAUCGAUCGUCGCCAUUGCUUAUUCCUUUUUAUUUGGGCGUCCAUUGGGUGUGUUCUUUUGUUUUUUUCUCAACAAAAAAUAGUUAAAAAUGUAGCUUAAAGUCAUUAAAGUGUAAUUUCAUCAUGUAGGCAGAAGCUUUUUUGUUGUUUUAUUGUGUGGUUUCAGAUCCCUAGGAUGGGGCGAUGGUCAGAAAAUAAGUGUGAAAUUCCAAAAAAGACCCUUUUACAAUUCCAGCAUAUCGUGUACACACCCAUGGAAGACGGCAAGAUAGAAAGUGGCGUGCAUAGGGCUGGUAGAUAAGAUUUUAACUCUUUUCCUGAAUAAGGAGGCAGCAAUGGCGAAAGGGAUCUAUGCAAGAAGGACCCAUGUAUUUGAUUUAAAAUAGCAUCUUAAAGUCAUCAACAAAAAGUAGACUUUCCCAGUGUUUUACCACCUCGUUACCAUACUCUUGGAUGGCUAUCAAUAAAAAUUCAAAAGAGCAACGGCCUCAGAUUACUACCCUGUGGCACAGCAGAAAAACCCUCAGACAUUGAUUUUGCAACUUAAAAAAUCUGUUGUAGUGAGGUCAGGUAUGUUUUCAAAUUGUAGCGUUUUUACCGUUAAGGUGUAAAUUAAAACACUCGAUGCACAAAAAUA
Molecule: long non-coding RNA, 672 nt
Organism: Anthonomus grandis grandis
Lineage: Eukaryota; Metazoa; Arthropoda; Insecta; Coleoptera; Curculionidae
Exons: 3
Source: RefSeq, a predicted model, not a curated record